RNAcentral lists this small RNA (2498 nucleotides) under Vigna angularis var. angularis. RNAcentral's name for it is "Non-protein coding transcript". The record is from RNAcentral. Lineage: Eukaryota; Viridiplantae; Streptophyta; Magnoliopsida; Fabales; Fabaceae.
AUUCAUUGACCCUAUGCAUUUGGACAGUUCUAACAGGUCAAUUUUAGUUUCGGAACUUUCAUGAAAGGGAUUUUUCAUAUUCGAAAAAACUUCGAGACAAAGGCAAUGGUCCAAGUUCCAGUAAGCCAAACUACUACGAAAACAUCGUUUUCAUGGCUUGUGGAAAGCUCGUGGCUCGAUUACGUAAUAUUUCUUGUGGUGUGAUUUUUCAUAUAAACCUCUUAUUUACCACUUUUAUGACUGAUACCAUUAACAUAGUCAAUUUCUGGAAGCAAUUAAAGGGAAAAAUGAAAAAAAAGUGUACCAAUCAACCAUUGUGUUUGAUCAUCCCACCAUUUAAGUAGUAAUCGUGUGAUAGUGCGUAUGUAUCACCAUAUUUGGCUAUCAGUGCCCACAAAAGUAAAUAAAAUUUUAUUAUAAGCCAUAUCAUAUUUGGCAACCAGAUUAUAGGCUGAAUUUAGAGCACAACAUGUUAUAAUCCGAUGCAAAGGUGCCCUGUAUAUAAGAUCAGUUCAAGGCUUCAAGCAUAGGCCUCUGGGUUUGCCACAAGAUAAGCAUCCACUACCUUGAGGAGAGCCAAGCCUUCUUCCUUUGCAGCCUUGAAAUCCUCCUCUUUGACAUCAACCCCUGCUUUGGGCUGAUAAGUGCUGACAUUCUUGGUCUUGCAACCUCCCUCUUCAGUGGCCUCGAACUUAAGCUCAUGUGAAAUUGAAUCCACUUUUUCAAGUGCACCAUCCCCCUCAAUCACUGCGUAGCUGUAAGUCAAUUUCUCAGGGUCAAUUGCAUCAAUUCUAUGCUUCAAGUGUUUGAUCUUAUCACCUGCAUUGAAGGCAUUACCAAUAACGAUCUCUGUUAGUCAUUUCUGUUUGAAACCUACCAAAAGAGAUAUGGGAUUAUCUCAAAAUAUACUUAGAAAACCAACUCUAGAGCACAUAACUAAUGAUUAUAUGAUUUAAGAUCACAUGGUUAGAGAAAUCAUUAUAUGAUUUAGAACUACCAUGUGUCUAUUAUCUUCUUUGGUCUUCACAUGACACACAAUUAGUCACAAAUAACAACAAAAAAUGAUAAAGUCAAAAUCAGUGUGAAAUGGUGCAACUGACCUUCAGCAAUGGUUAUCUCCUGAAUGCUUCCAGGACCUCCAUUCCCUUCAACCAAUUGAACAUUCUUAAUGGCCUCAGGCAUCAGUUUGGGAAUGAGGUUUGGAGCAUCAAGGAUCAAAGCCUUGAACAACCUUCCUGGCUGGACAGUGCUAGUAAACUCCUCUGUGAAAGUGAGUGCCCCCAUGCUGCUUAGAAGUUUGAAUUGAACUACAAGAUAUUGAUAGAAACUUAAAGUUUAUGAGCACUAGGAAAUGCAGUGAUGUGAGAUAUCAGAGAUAUGAGUAUUUAUAGAUGAAGAGGAUAACAAAGCAAUUAAUACCACAUUUGACAAUAUUUCAACAAACUACGAAGGUGCCUGUCCCACUAGAGUAAAGUGGACCGUCCCUUUGCAUGCCUUAUUAAUUCCAAUGGAAGUCUUUGUUUCCUUCACCAAAGUAAACAUCUAAUCGGACAACGCAACCUGUGACCCUAAUGCUCCUAAAUCUAUGCAGUGACUGAUUUUAUGAAAUCACAUACAUGAAGUAGGCUGAUUAAUAAUAUACUCUAGCAUGUUUUUGGCAACCAUAGUGGAAUGAAUUUUUCACUGUAAAUCCUAACACCUUAACAUUUUUAGGGAUAAGACCUCUCCAAGGUGUAAUAGAUUCCAAUAUUUCCUCAGCAUGACUUCAACAUACGCCCACCGACUCACCGCUAUUUUAAGCAUGCCCAACAUAAAUGAGGGGGUUGGAUUUCUAUUUGAGUCUCUAAUGCAGUUGAGAAUUUAUUGGCUUCAAUUUAUGCACCCACUUUGUGUAGGCACAAGGAUCUCAAUUUAACUAAGAAGCAAAUACAAAAAUCUUGAGAAAUAUAAUAGGUGUGUGGAAAUGGAUCUAGCCUCAUAAAACCAGAGCAAAUUACAGUAAAACAAUAAAGAAUCAUGUUCUUUCCUUUUCACCAUCUUAAUGCUAUAGUUCUCCCUACGGUAUUCAUAGCCAUCAAUGACUGAUCAUGGUUGCUCUUUUUGCAUAUCAGAGACCAUAGGCUCCUAGUGUGCCUGCCUACCUGUCUAAAAACAAGCAUCGAACUCAUUGAUGAAUUUCCAUUCCCCCACCUUGUAACAGAUUGCUUUAAACUUUUAAUGAGUUGUUUGACUAUUUACUGGAAAAUAAAUAAAUUCUAUGUAGAUAAAUAGAAGUUGAUCGAAGCUUGUCGUAAUUAAUGGCCGAAAUAGGUAGUUGUGGUCUCCAUUUUUAGUUCAGCAUCAUUCUCUCUGUAAAGGAAAAAUUACAGCCGAAGAACACAAAAAUGUAAUGUCAAUCCAAGGGGAGAAAAUUAAAGUGGUUACAAUCAGAGUAUUUUUAAUAAUUGUAAUCCACUCAAUAACUACAUUAAAUCAGAGUAUUUUUUGUGGCUAUUAAG